UUGUUUAUCAUUCUAUAUAUAAUAGCUUGCAUCUGCUAAUUCCAAACUCCGUGUCCAUCCCUCCUGGCCACCCCCCACGCCUACCCUUGGCAACCAUAGGUCUGUUCUCCAUGUCUCUGAGUUUGUUUCUGUUUUAUAGAUAGGUUCAUUUAUGUGUAGAUUCAACAUAUAAGUAAUAGCAUAUGGUAUUUGUUUUUCUCUUGACUUACUUUACUUACUAUGAUAAUCUCUAGGUCCAGCUGUGUUGCUGCAAAUGGCACUAUUUCAUUCUUUUUAAUGGCUGAAUAAUACUCCAUUGCAUGUUUAUAUAUAUACACACACUACAUCUGCUUUAUCCAUUCAUCUGUCGAUGGACAUUUAGGGUGUUUCAACGUCUUGGCUAUUGUAAAUAGUGCUAUUAUGAAAAUAGGAAUGCAUAUGUCUUUUCAAAUUAUAAUUUUUUUCUGGAUAUAUGCACAGAAGCAGAAUUGCUUGGUCAUAGGCAGCUCUAUUUUUAGUUUUUUGAGGAACCUCCAUACUGUUUUCCAUUGUGGCUGCACCACUUUACAUCCCCACCAACAGUGUGGUAGUGUUCCCUUUCCUCCACACUGUCUCUAGCAUUUAUUGUUUGUAGACUUUUAAUGAUGGCCAUUCUGACCUCAUUGUAGUUUUGAUUUGCAUUUCUCUAAUAAUGAGCGAUGAUAGCAUGUUUUCUUGUGCCUACUGGCCAUCUGUAUGUGAGAAAAGUCAUGUUUUAAAAGAUUAUGGCGCAGUGGAGGCAAAUCCGACUAGGAACCAUGAGGUGUGGGUUCAAUCCCUGGCCUUGCUCAGUGGGUUAAGUAUCCGGCGUUGCCAUGAGCUAUGGUGUAGGUCACAGAUGCGGCUUGGAUCUGGCAUUGCUGUGGCUGUGGUACAGGCCAGCAGCUGUAGCUCGGAUUAGACCCUUAGCCUGGGAACCUCCAUAUCCCUCGAGUACGGCCCCAAAAAGACAAAAGGCAAAAAAAAAAAAAAAAAAGAAAAGAAAAAAGUGAUUAUAACCAAAAGAUAAUCAGGAGUUCCCUUUGUGGCUCAGUGGUUGACAAACAAGUCUACUAUCCAUGAGGGUGCCGGUUUGAUCCCUGGCCUCAGUAAGUGGGUUAAGGAUCUGACAUUGCCAUGAGCUGUGGUGUGGGUCACAGACACAGCUUGGAUCUGGCAUUGCUGUGGCUCUGGCAUAGGCCAGCAGCUAUAGCUCUGAUUCACCCCCUAGCCUGGGAACCACCAUGUGCCACAGAUGCGGUUCUAAAAAGACCAAAAAAAAAAAAAAAAAAAAAAAAGAGGAUUAUCAAUUAUAUUCAGCCCUGUGAAGACAUUUUUGUAAAGGCUGUUCAGCAUGGGGUGUAAGGAAAAAGUUAAGCGGCCAAAAAUGUGUCAUUGUGUCCAGAGCUGCUCUAUCCAAUAGAAGAGCAACUAGCCCCGCAGCUACUGAGCAUCUGCAAUGAGGUUAAUUCAAAUUGAGAUGUGCUGUAAAUGGAACAUAAACACUGGACUUCAAAGACUUAGUAAUAAAAAAAAAAUGUAAACUAGCUCAAGAAUUUUAACACAGAUUAUGUGUUGAAAUAACAUGUCAAAUACAUCGGGUUGGAUAAGAUACAUUAUUUGGGUUACCUUCACCUGCUACUUUUUAUGUUUCUAAUGUGACUACUGGAAAACUUAAAAUUCCAUGUGUGGCCCACAUUUUAUGUACCCUGGACAGUGCUGGUACAUUGUUGUCCAGAGGAAAGAUGGUCACCUUUUGCUUAACAUACUGAAAUCAUUAUCUAGAAUUCAUAUUUAUCAAAUAUACAAUAUUUUAUGUCUGAUGGAGUGGUUUCCAAUGCUUUUUAAAGGUCUGUCUUUUUUUUCUACUUGCUCACUUUCGCAUAUAUUCAGUAUAUUGAAGCUAGUCUAUCUAUCUAAAGCUACUUCUGUCUCAAUUUUAAGCUAAAAUGUUCAUCAGAAGGUGAGAAUGUUUGGAGAAAGUUACACAUGUUCAGAAAAGGGGGAAAUUAUUCCCUAUGCCUAGGAAAACAACACAGCAUUUCACACCUUUCUGUCACCACUUUUCUUUCUUUUCAGUGAAGAAGGAAAAGACAGAUGGUUCAGUGCAAAGAAUUUAGGAGCGCAAAUCAAGCCCUCCUCUGGGUAAAAUUUUAGCAGGUAGUCAGAUCCUCUCCAUAGAUUCCAUACCAACAUAAAUUCCAGAUGGUUUAAAGGGGCACUUUUAAACUAUAAGAAAAACUAGAAGAAUGUUAAAUGUAUUAGGUACUUAAAUGUUGGGACAGGAAAAUUUUUAAAGAAGCAAAGAAGGGGGAAAAGGCAUGGAUAGAUCAGACUAUGCACAAAUUUAAAAUUCUAGACAUGAAAAAUAUAGAAACAAGAGGAAAUAAUUAUAGCAAAUACCACAAACAUUAAAUUAACUUUUAAAAUGUAUAGACAUUAGACAGACUCAUUUAAAAACAACUUUGAUCUCCAAAUGUAAAAGGUUUGAAUCAAUAAUUCAUCAAAGAAGAAUUAUGACUGGCAAAUAACCCCAGGAAAAAAUGUUCACUCUCCCUUGUAAACCAAUGAAUGCAAAUUAAAACAAAAGUAAGUUAUCUAGUCUGCUUACCUGAUUGGCAAAGUUAUUAUUGUGAUUGUUGUUUUGUUUGGUGCUGGUGAGAGUGUAGCAAAAUGGGUAUUAAUAUAUAGCUGGAUGGUUCUGAAAAUUUGUAUGAACUUAUUGAAAAACAUUUGCUGUAAAAAGAUUUUGAUAAAGUAAUUCCAUGUCUGGAAUCUAUCCUCAAGGAAAAACAAACAAAAAUCCUUAUGAGCAAAAAGACGUCACAGAGUUAUUCAUAAUAUUAAAAUUUUAAAACAACUUAAUUUCCAACCAAUAAGGAAAGACUUAAGUAAAAUAUGGUAAAUUCACUCAAUGGAAUAUUAUGCAGUCAAUAAGGAUGUUUGUUCAGGCUAUAUACUAACAUGGAAAAUGGACUGUAAUAUAAUUUUUAAUGAAAAACACCCAGGUUUCAAACUGUAUAUGUAGUAUGAUUACAACUAUGUAAAACUCUUCUGUUAAAAAAAAAAAGAUGGACUAUAUGCAAUUUCGUGGCCUAUUCCUGAUGAAUAUAGCAGAGUAUAACUGUAUCAUGAUAAAACUAGCACCUGCUGAGCCCAGCUAAGUAAAAUGACUAACCCUUUGUCAG
RNAcentral lists this long non-coding RNA (3185 nucleotides) under Sus scrofa (pig). RNAcentral's name for it is "lncRNA (ENSSSCG00000057581.1)". Lineage: Eukaryota; Metazoa; Chordata; Mammalia; Artiodactyla; Suidae. The record is from RNAcentral.